Molecule: transfer RNA, 104 nt
Filed under: Pseudomonas syringae
Lineage: Bacteria; Pseudomonadati; Pseudomonadota; Gammaproteobacteria; Pseudomonadales; Pseudomonadaceae
Description: tRNA-Leu
Source: RNAcentral
GCGGGCGUCGUAACCUGUUGAUUUAUAGCAGAUUUAUGUAGAUGUGCAUGAUUUAGGUUCCAGCGCCGCAAGGUGUGAGAGUUCGAGUCUCUCCGUCCGCACCA